Molecule: ribosomal RNA, 385 nt
Filed under: uncultured Alphaproteobacteria bacterium
Lineage: Bacteria; Pseudomonadati; Pseudomonadota; Alphaproteobacteria
Description: bacterial SSU rRNA
Rfam family: Bacterial small subunit ribosomal RNA
Source: RNAcentral
GAGUUUGAUCUUGGCUCAGAACGAACGCUGGCGGCAUGCCUAACACAUGCAAGUCGAACGCUCGUAGCAAUACGAGAGUGGCGGACGGGUGAGUAACGCGUGGGAACCUGCCCAAGGGUUCGGAAUAACCGCGGGAAACUGCGGCUAAUACCGGAUGAUAUCUAUGGAUCAAAGGAGCAAUCCGCCCAUGGAGGGGCCCGCGUCCGAUUAGCUAGUUGGUGGGGUAAAGGCCUACCAAGGCGAUGAUCGGUAGCUGGUCUGAGAGGAUGAUCAGCCACACUGGGACUGAGACACGGCCCAGACUCCUACGGGAGGCAGCAGUGGGGAAUAUUGGACAAUGGGGGAAACCCUGAUCCAGCAAUGCCGCGUGGGUGAUGAAGGCCUU